AACGAACGCUGGCGGCAGGCUUAACACAUGCAAGUCGAACGCAUCGCAAGAUGAGUGGCAGACGGGUGAGUAACGCGUGGGAACAUACCCUUUUCUACGGAAUAGCUCUGGGAAACUGGAAUUAAUACCGUAUACGCCCUACGGGGGAAAGAUUUAUCGGGGAAGGAUUGGCCCGCGUUGGAUUAGCUAGUUGGUGGGGUAAAGGCCUACCAAGGCGACGAUCCAUAGCUGGUCUGAGGGGAUGAUCAGCCACAUUGGGACUGAGACACGGCCCAAACACCUACGGGAGGCAGCAGUGGGGAAUAUUGGACAAUGGGCGCAAGCCUGAUCCAGCCAUGCCGCGUGAGUGAUGAAGGCCUUAGGGUUGUAAAGCUCUUUCACCGAUGAAGAUAAUGACGGUAGUCGGAGAAGAAGCCCCGGCUAACUUCGUGCCAGCCGCCGCGGUAA
This 447-nucleotide ribosomal RNA is filed under the name uncultured bacterium. Its description in RNAcentral is "partial 16S ribosomal RNA". It matches the Rfam family "Bacterial small subunit ribosomal RNA", at positions 29 to 523 of the family's 1533-position model. The record is from RNAcentral.